This 957-nucleotide long non-coding RNA is filed under the name Hordeum vulgare. RNAcentral describes it as "long non-coding RNA (HVUL_LNC012510)". Lineage: Eukaryota; Viridiplantae; Streptophyta; Magnoliopsida; Poales; Poaceae. The record is from RNAcentral.
UGGUCCUCUUUGUAUAUGGACCACAUAUUUUUUUAUCGUGUGACAUGCAUGAAUGCAUUAUACAAUGGUGUCUAAGGUACCUAGCGUAUUCUAUAUGCCCCAAGUUCAAGCAAGCGACAUAUCAAUUAACGGUGUACUUAUCUAGUGUGUAGAAAAUACUAAUCAAGACUGCAAUGCAUGGCUACAUGGUAGAGACCACACAUAGAAUGGUUGCACGAAGAACAACCGAACUCAAGAUACUUCCUCGAGAGUGAUCAUUCCAAGCUAGUGGUUUGUGCCUAUGUUCAUUAAAAAAAUCGUUGUCUAUGGAGCAAGAUCUUGCCCUCUGAAGAUACAAAAAAUGUCCACGCUUAGGAUUAUAUUACCCCUAGCAUCAUGUCAAUGGCACACACACUCUAUGUAUGUAUCAUAAAGGGUUUUGAAAAGAUUUGGGCUUGGACAAAAAUCCUAAAAGUGAGGCGAGCCUUUAACAAAGAUUCACAUUGCGAGGCGUCAGCCCCAAAAUGCAUAAUUGCAUUGUCCCCCCACUUCCCAGCCACACCUAAGUUUCCUUUGUCAAGCUAUGCAUGCCAUCACACUACUCGCUAUAGGUCGUUGCUUGCUCCCACCUCAGCGCAUCAUUCUCCAAUGAACCUCCUCCAUCUUCCUUGGGUUCUCUAGGCAUCCGUUGCUAGAUUGUAGUGAGUAUGCUGUAAAGGGCACAUACGGAUCAUUGCAUAAGGAAACAAACCAAGCUCAACAUACUUUUCUCACAUUCCAAGCAAUUGGUAUGUGCCUAUAUUCAUAAUGACGUGUUUGACUAUGGAGAAAAAUCCUUCCCAUGGAAGGCAUCAGCGAAAAAAUUAGCAUGUUUGGGAUGAUAUUACUACUAACUAAAGAUGUCAAUAACACAAGCUCUAUAUAGGUGUAGUGAGAGUAUGAGAAGAAUUUAGACUGGACUAAAAUUGCAAUAUAGGA